CGUCCCAGACAGGCUCGCAGGCCUCACGCGAUUCUGGUCCUCCCCUAGCCCUUCCUCUUCCGCCGCCGCCGGCCUGGCUCCUCCGAUCCGCGGCGUCCCUGGUCCUCUGCGACGCCGCCGCAAGGCCGGGCUAGCUGCACCGCGCCUGCUCACCCGCACCCGCGCCGCCGGAGAGCGCGCCGCCACCACAGCCUCCGGGCUCCGCGUGGCGUUCUAGGUCACACCGGGCUUGUACAGCGAGUCCCGCCUCCCACCCUUCCCUCGCGAGCAGAGCGGUUCCAGCUCGCGCCCUCUCCCUCCGCCGCUCGCUGGCCUUAGAUCGAUGCUGCCGCCAAGGUUCGCUGAGCCAUUCUUCGUUCUAUCUGUAGCCUAAUGAUAUUGGUGAAUACUUGUUUCAGGAACAUAAGCGCCAAGGGAAAGGUACCUCUGCAUCGAAUGAUUUUUACACUUGGGAGCCUGUUGGAUUCCAACAAUCCAAAUCAAAUUCACUAAAAAUCUUCUCGAUUAGUCUUGGAGAUAUUGACAAAAAGAAGAAGCAGUAAGUGCACUCUUUGUUUUCCUGUUGCUGGUUUUUAUUGUUCAGGCUAUGUUCCUGUUGUCUCACAGUGGAUCAAAGCAGUGAAUCUCCAAGGAGGCCAUAUGAAGAUCAUGACUUGCAGUUCAGCAUGCCUAUUUGACUUUACCAUGGUGACUAGCACGGGAUUGCAAAGCUUCUGUGUAAUGAUAAAUCAGAUGAAAAGCUGAUGGAGAAUUCAGUAGUUAGGCCUGGUGUAUUAUGUGUAAUGCCUGAACAAAAGGAUGUAGUGUCCAUGGCAAUUGUGCCUUCUGUGUAAUGAACUUGUGAAUCGAGAAUGAAAAUGAAUAAAAUAUGUUUCUCAGUGAAGUUUAUCUUGUGCA
Long non-coding RNA from Panicum virgatum (switchgrass), 897 nucleotides. RefSeq lists it as uncharacterized. The record is from RefSeq and is a predicted model, not a curated record. Lineage: Eukaryota; Viridiplantae; Streptophyta; Magnoliopsida; Poales; Poaceae. The transcript is spliced from 2 exons.